UACAGAGGGUGCAAGCGUUAAUCGGAAUUAUUGGGCGUAAAGGGUGCGUAGGUGGUUUAAUAAGUUAGGUGUGAAAGUCCUGGGCUCAACCUGGGGAGGUCGCCUAAAACUGUUAGGCUAGAGUACUGUAGAGGGAAGUGGAAUUUCCGGUGUAGCGGUGAAAUGCGUAGAUAUCGGAAGGAACAUCAGUGGCGAAGGCGACUUUCUGGACAGAUACUGACACUGAGGCACGAAAGCGUGGGUAGCAAACAGGAUUAGAUACCCUGGUAGUCCACGCUGUAAACGAUGAAGACUGGCUGUUGGGUGCCGUGAGGCAUUUAGUAGCGAAGCUAACGCGUUAAGUUUUCCGCCUGGGGAGUACGGCCGCAAGGCUAAA
This 376-nucleotide ribosomal RNA is filed under the name uncultured bacterium. Its description in RNAcentral is "bacterial SSU rRNA". It matches the Rfam family "Bacterial small subunit ribosomal RNA", at positions 524 to 898 of the family's 1533-position model. The record is from RNAcentral.